UGCCAGCCGCCGCGGUAACACGGGGGGCGCAAGCGUUAUUCGGAAUUAUUGGGCGUAAAGGGCGCGCAGGCGGUCUUGUCCGUCAGGUGUGAAAGCUCGGGGCUCAACCCCGGAAGUGCACUUGAAACAGCAAGACUUGAAUACGGUAGAGGAGAGAGGAACUCCUGGUGUAGAGGUGAAAUUCGUAGAUAUCACAUAGAACACCUAUUGCGAAGGCAGCUCACUAAGCCGAUACUGACGCUCAGGGACGAAAGCGUGGGGAGCGAACAGGAUUAGAUA
This 279-nucleotide ribosomal RNA is filed under the name uncultured bacterium. RNAcentral describes it as "partial 16S ribosomal RNA". It matches the Rfam family "Bacterial small subunit ribosomal RNA", at positions 506 to 784 of the family's 1533-position model. The record is from RNAcentral.